GGGCCCACACAAGCGGUGGAGUAUGUGGUUUAAUUCGAUGCAACGCGAAGAACCUUACCAGGGUUUGACAUCCUGCGAAUCUCUUGGAAACGAGAGAGUGCCUUUGGGAACGCAGUGACAGGUGGUGCAUGGCUGUCGUCAGCUCGUGUCGUGAGAUGUUGGGUUAAGUCCCGCAACGAGCGCAACCCACGUCUUUAGUUGCCAGCAUUUAGUUGGGCACUCUAGAGAGACUGCCGGUGAUAAACCGGAGAAGGUGUGGAUGACGUCAAGUCAUCAUGCCCCUUACAUCUGGGCUACACACGUACUACAAUGCUACGGACAAAGGGCAGCAAGUUCGCGAGGACAAGCAAAUCCCAUAAACGUGGCUC
This 368-nucleotide ribosomal RNA is filed under the name uncultured bacterium. Its description in RNAcentral is "bacterial SSU rRNA". It matches the Rfam family "Bacterial small subunit ribosomal RNA", at positions 917 to 1289 of the family's 1533-position model. The record is from RNAcentral.